GAAGCUGACCAGACAGUCGCCGCUUCGUCGUCGUCCUCUUCGGGGGAGACGGGCGGAGGGGAGGAAAGUCCGGGCUCCAUAGGGCAGGGUGCCAGGUAACGCCUGGGGGGGAAACCCACGACCAGUGCAACAGAGAGCAAACCGCCGAUGGCCCGCGCAAGCGGGAUCAGGUAAGGGUGAAAGGGUGCGGUAAGAGCGCACCGCGCGGCUGGUAACAGUCCGUGGCACGGUAAACUCCACCCGGAGCAAGGCCAAAUAGGGGUUCAUAAGGUACGGCCCGUACUGAACC
RNAcentral lists this RNase P RNA (289 nucleotides) under Escherichia coli. RNAcentral's name for it is "partial RNase P RNA component class A". It matches the Rfam family "Bacterial RNase P class A", at positions 1 to 267 of the family's 367-position model. Rfam says of the family: Ribonuclease P (RNase P) is a ubiquitous endoribonuclease, found in archaea, bacteria and eukarya as well as chloroplasts and mitochondria. Its best characterised activity is the generation of mature 5'-ends of tRNAs by cleaving the 5'-leader elements of precursor-tRNAs. The record is from RNAcentral. Lineage: Bacteria; Pseudomonadati; Pseudomonadota; Gammaproteobacteria; Enterobacterales; Enterobacteriaceae.